This is a long non-coding RNA of Ostrea edulis (European flat oyster), 658 nucleotides long. RefSeq lists it as uncharacterized. NCBI's taxonomy places the organism in Eukaryota, Metazoa, Mollusca, Bivalvia, Ostreida, Ostreidae. The record is from RefSeq and is a predicted model, not a curated record. The transcript has 3 exons.
GACAUUUUUCGACAGCUGUCCGGAAGUAGUAAAUCGAAAGUGAAAGUAAACGAGACUUUCCGACCCUAUGGUGACGUCUCCAUAUGAGUGAAAUAUUCUCGAGUCGUUAUCAAUUCUGAUGCUUUCAGGCCUGACAAUCUUAUUCUAGCCUUAAAUAUGAGCGAAGGAUGGAUAUCCAUGUUAGGACAUUUGGAGAAAUAUAACUACUGAAAUAGGAGUUUGUUCGGAGGGCACAUCUUUUUCCCAGCCGUGCGUACAUGGGUGUUUAGCAAAACCACUUUCAACCCGAAGGCAGGCAGAGAGUUGUGGGAUUCGGAUGUACGGAGGUCCAAGCGGGUAUUGUGCUACAUUAUGGAAGGGCGUGGUGUAGCUCCAUCAAGGAUAACCCGAGACUUUGGAGGCAUCGGAACCCUGGUGUAUAGUCGGGAGUUGACGAUAGCUCGUGCAAGGCUUGCAUGGUGGUGGAGUGUUUUUCAUUCUGGGCGUGCUUAUCGCAAGUUGGCGGGAAACCGGAACAGUGUCUUCGGAGUACAGAAUAGUUGCAUUAAAAAAUUAAAAUGACUCAAAAUUUAGAAACAAAAACAAAGAAUAUUAUAUUACAGAAAAGGAGAAUUGAAUUUAUAUAAUUUAUUUAUUUAAUUAAUAAAUUUCUUAUUGU